CCUACGGGUGGCUGCAGUGAGGAAUAUUGGACAAUGGACGGAAGUCUGAACCAGCCAUGCCGCGUGCAGGAAGACGGCUCUAUGAGUUGUAAGUAGCUUUUGUACAAGGGUAAACCUGAAUACGUGUAUUCAGCUGAAAGGACUUUACGAACAAGGAUCGCCCAACUCCGUGCCAGCAGCCGCGGUACUACGGAGGGUCCAAGCGUUAUCCGGAUUUAUUGGGUUUAAAGGGUGCGGAGGCGGAUUGAUAAGUUAGAGGUGAAAUGUCCGAGCUUAACUCGGGAACUGCCUCUAAUACUGUUGAUCUAGAGAGUAGAUGCGGUAGGCGGAAUGUAUGGUGUAGCGGUGAAAUGCUUAGAGAUCAUACAGAACACCGAUUGCGAAGGCAGCUUACCAAUCUAAAUCUGACGUUGAGGCACGAAAGCGUGGGGAGCAAACAGGAUUAGAUACCCGGGUAGUC
RNAcentral lists this ribosomal RNA (460 nucleotides) under uncultured bacterium. Its description in RNAcentral is "partial 16S ribosomal RNA". It matches the Rfam family "Bacterial small subunit ribosomal RNA", at positions 338 to 795 of the family's 1533-position model. The record is from RNAcentral.